RNAcentral lists this ribosomal RNA (253 nucleotides) under uncultured bacterium. RNAcentral's name for it is "partial 16S ribosomal RNA". It matches the Rfam family "Bacterial small subunit ribosomal RNA", at positions 524 to 776 of the family's 1533-position model. The record is from RNAcentral.
UACGGAGGAUCCAAGCGUUAUCCGGAUUUAUUGGGUUUAAAGGGUGCGUAGGCGGAACAUUAAGUCAGUGGUGAAAGCCUGAAGCUUAACUUCAGAAUUGCCAUUGAUACUGAUGUUCUUGAAUAUAGUUGAGGUGGGCGGAAUGUGUCAUGUAGCGGUGAAAUGCUUAGAUAUGACACAGAACACCGAUUGCGAAGGCAGCUCGCUAAACUAUUAUUGACGCUGAGGCACGAAAGCGUGGGGAUCAAACAGG